RNAcentral lists this long non-coding RNA (813 nucleotides) under Homo sapiens (human). RNAcentral's name for it is "HSALNT0358686". The record is from RNAcentral. Lineage: Eukaryota; Metazoa; Chordata; Mammalia; Primates; Hominidae.
CUUACACAGAUGCGGGUGGGCUGGGCAGUCAAGGUCUGGGAGAGGACCAGAGGAAGGCACCAACAGCCUGAAGCACGGGAACAGGGGGGCAGCUAUGGUUCUGGCCAAGAAGAUGCAGUGGGAAGCAUGCUUGGAGCUUUCGGAGAGAGUUUUCCUCCAAGGUUAAAGGACAGGGGUGUGAGAAGGAACAUCUUUCAUCUUUUCCAACCUAUGCUCAUCCUUCUACCUGAGAUGUUUCCAUGUGAGGAUGUGAUAUUUGCAGCUGCAGAGGCCAUCCUGUGACCACGAGAAAAAAGGCUGAAAGAACCAUAGACACUGAUCAGACUGUCGAACCAUUCUGGAACAGGCCCCCUCCAGAUGUCUUGUUAAAAGAGAGAUCUAAAAUGUCUUCCUUACUUUCAGGUAUUCAAUUACUUGCACCUGCAUCAAUUAGAAUUAGAUUUGACUGUGAUUAAUAGAAAGCCCCAAAAUAACAGUAGCUUUUGCAAGAUAGAGGCUCAUUUCUCUUUCAUGUAUAAGAAGUCUGAAGAUAAGCAGCUCAGAGUGACAGGGGCAGCUUUAAAGUCAUCAGAGAACCAAGCAUCUUUUGUCUCACUGCCCUGCCAUUCUUAGCAUGUGACUUCCACUCACAUGGCUCAAAGAGGGCUGCCCAGGCUCCAGGCAUCACAUUUGCUUUCCAGAUAGCAGGGAGGAGGAGAGGUGGAAGAAAUAUCCCCCUCUUCUUUUAAGAACACCUCCCAGAAACUCUUCUGUCUAUAUCCCAUUGACUAGAAUUUAGCGACAUGACCACAUCUGGCGGUAAGGGAGGCUGGG